RNAcentral lists this long non-coding RNA (1093 nucleotides) under Homo sapiens (human). RNAcentral's name for it is "HSALNT0327784". Lineage: Eukaryota; Metazoa; Chordata; Mammalia; Primates; Hominidae. The record is from RNAcentral.
GGUAUAUUGAAGCCAAAUUAAAGAAGGAUGUGAAGGUUAGGCUAAGAAGUGUGAUGAGCUUUAUUUAGGUAAUAGGCAAUGAGGAGAAAUUGAAACAUGAAGGAACAUAAUUUGAGGUGUGAUUAUUUGAGUUUUUAAAAUAUUAUCACUGUGCAUCAGAAUGGGUUAGGGAAGGCUUAAAUCCUGGAUGCUGGCUCAGCACCUAUUAGAGCAAUUAAAAUGAGAAAUGAUGCAGACUAAACUAGAAUUUCAGGUAAAAAUGGGAAAAAUAGGCGUUAAAAAAUGGUAUAAACGUUAAAAAACUACACUUGACUGAGUUAGAAUAUGGAGGAAAAGGAAGUAUGGAGAUCAAAAGAAAACAUCAGGAUUUGGGAGCUUGGACACAGGUUUUGCUUUUCCAUCUUUUAUGGAGUAUGAUUUACUUUCAAAUCGCCUCUGAAGAAACCUAUUAGUCAGUCAACUGCAGAAAAACUUCUCCAUAAUAUCUACCUGGAAUAUAUCUUGCUUCCAUUCACCUUCUUCCUUUGUCAAUGACUCUCAGGAGGAAUACAGUCUUUGUCAGUCAUAAAGGAAGGAAGAGUCAAUGACAUAGGAUCCCAAACACGGCUAAAAUGUCUCAUAUCUAAUGCUGUACUCCCCCUCUUAACCAAAAUUUGUGUCAGGAAAAGGCACAAAACUCCACCAAAGGAUUACGGUACCUUAAUCCAAGGAAGUUGUAUAGAGGCUAGUAUUUAAAAUUGUCAUUUUGAUAGGCCCCACUAGUGGAUUUUAUCCCCUGUUAGGUUGGACAAUCCUCAGUAUAUACACCUUACUACACAAAGAUUUUCAUCAUAAUUUAUUGACUUUCUGCUAUGAGAGAUGAGUGUGCUCGUGUGACACCCAAUUAAACACUUAAUCCAUUCAAUUACAUGAAGUACAAAUUGCUUGAGGGGUUCUUGCUGUAUGGCUCACGCUGCUCUUGAACUGCUGGUCUCAAGCGAUCGUCCUGCCUAGGCCUUCCAAAGUGCUGAGAUUACAGGUGUGACCUAUCACACUGGGCCUCAGCUUCACUCUUGAAAUACAUUUUGCUGGUUAUUUGACUUCUAGUUGGCAG